Long non-coding RNA from Astatotilapia calliptera (eastern happy), 1378 nucleotides. Lineage: Eukaryota; Metazoa; Chordata; Actinopteri; Cichliformes; Cichlidae. The record is from Ensembl.
GACACAACACAAAUUACUUUUUACCGGCUUCACGUUAUCUGUAGCGUCAAACUGACUGCCAGUCUGGCAGUCUCCUACACUGGUGUAGGAGAAUCGCCGAAAUACAUCAGUGUUAACGACCUAGGGUUUAAAAUAUUCAUUAGGCUACUUGUCUCUGCACAAAUGCUCCACAAGAAAAACACUCACCUUUUAAACGAUGUGGCAUUUAACCAAUGCUGAAUUGGUACUUAGGGGCCCGAAAUGUGCCAAGAAAAUUUCCCCCACGUCAUUACACCACCACAGCACCAGCCUGAAUUUUGAUGCAAGGCAGGGUGAAUCCACGCCUUCAUGUUGCUUUCAACAAAUACCAUCUAUGUGUUACAGCAGAAAUUGAGACUCAUUAGACAAGGCAAAAUUUUUCCAGUCUUCUGCUGUCCAGUUCCGGUGAGCCUGUGCGGACUGUACGGUUGGAAGGAACAUCUACUUUAAAAUUUGAUGUGUUGUGCACUCAGAGAUGCUCUUCUGCAUACCUUGGUUGUAAUGAAUUACUCAUGCCCUCUAUCAGCAGUCUGGCCUUUUCCCUCUGACCUCUGGCAUCAACAAGAGAACUCCGGCUCACUGGAUAUUUUCUCUCUUUCUGACCGUUCUUUGCAAAUCCAAGAAUUGGUUACGCAGGAAAACUCUAGUAGAUCAGCAGUUUGUAAAAUAUUCAGGCUACCUGGCACCAACAACCAAAGGCACACGAACCACCUUUCUUCUUUAUUUUUUUUGUCAUCAACAAUUUUUAUUUAUUUCAUUUUAAACUUCAAUAACAGAACUUAAGAAUAACUACAUAAAUAAAUAGUUUUAAAAAACAAACAAACAAAAACAAACAACAACAAAACAAAACACAACAAACAAAAACAAACAAACAAAAAAAAAAAAAACCAAAGGAAAGUUAUCCUAUUCUUUCUUCGCACACCAAUCCCCACACCACCACUCUAUCAUUACUCUUCUGUUCUUCAAGUUACAGAAAGCCAGCUUGUAAAGGGGGACCAAAUACAGUCAUAUUGAUGCAAUUUAUCUAAUAAACCAUAAGUCACUUUUUCAUAAGACGCCAACUUAGCCAUUGUCUUUAGCCACUCUUCAUAGGGAGGGGGGUUCUUUUUCCGUCAAUGUCUUAGCAGGACCCGUUUGGCCGUAGUAAGAGCCAGAAUAAUCCAUCUUUUUGUAUAACUAGAAAAAUCUCCAUCAGAAAGUUCUGUGGUUAUACCAAGUAUGGACAGUUUUGGUGAGAUACCAAAUCUCCUUUUUAAAACACUGAAAAUUACCUCCAUUAUAUUUUCCCACCAAUCUCGAAGUGCCGAACAGCUCCAUAAGAUAUGUAAAAUCGAAGCAUUUUGACCAUCACAUCUCCAAC